Molecule: transfer RNA, 74 nt
Filed under: Candidatus Altarchaeales archaeon WOR_SM1_SCG
Lineage: Archaea; Nanobdellati; Candidatus Altarchaeota; Candidatus Altarchaeia; Candidatus Altarchaeales
Description: Candidatus Altiarchaeales archaeon WOR_SM1_SCG tRNA
Rfam family: tRNA
About the family: Transfer RNA (tRNA) molecules are approximately 80 nucleotides in length.
Source: Rfam by way of RNAcentral
GCCGCCGUAGCUCAGCAUGGGAGAGCACUCGGCUGAAGACCGAGGUGUCACGCGUUCAAAUCUCGUCGGCGGCA